GAUUUCUUUGCAGUCCUCUGAAGGUCAACAUGAAAAUAUUCAGUGAGGCUCAGGUAAGUGGCAGUAACAACUAUAAGUCUCUUAAGGAACCCAAAAGCUUGGUCAUUUAAUUAGUGACACGCAUGAAUGGAU
This 132-nucleotide non-coding RNA is filed under the name Chlorocebus sabaeus (green monkey). Its description in RNAcentral is "Eukaryotic large subunit ribosomal RNA". It matches the Rfam family "Eukaryotic large subunit ribosomal RNA", at positions 2193 to 2324 of the family's 3401-position model. Lineage: Eukaryota; Metazoa; Chordata; Mammalia; Primates; Cercopithecidae. The record is from Rfam by way of RNAcentral.